Molecule: long non-coding RNA, 451 nt
Filed under: Musa acuminata (dwarf banana)
Lineage: Eukaryota; Viridiplantae; Streptophyta; Magnoliopsida; Zingiberales; Musaceae
Description: long non-coding RNA (MACU_LNC002054)
Source: RNAcentral
CAAGAUUCCAACUGAUCAUUCACAGCAUUUAUAAGAGUCAGACGUAUCCAAAAUGUUUGUUACAUGAAAAUAUUCAUUUCUAUUAGUCAGAACAUUGUAGAUCAACACAAAUCUUUAACACUACUAGGGACAUGCACGCGAACAUACCAAAUCUUCAACACCACUUCAAACAGCACAAAGACAUGUGGAACAAACACACAGCCACAGAGCUUCAACUAAUUCGACCAUAAACGAUCCACAAAGGUUGGAUCGUUUGGUGAACUUUUACUGCAGCGGAACCACACAAACUGAUUCCUAACCGUCAAGUUUCUUGGUCUUCUCUUUUUCCAGCAAGUAGUAUCUCUCAGCUUCUGGCAUCGUCACCAUGAUGGCGCGCAGUCGGGAAUUCAUUUCGUCUACCUUCUGCAUCAUGGCGUCAUUGGUUAACAUGCCAUUCAAGACACGUACAAUU